This 301-nucleotide ribosomal RNA is filed under the name uncultured bacterium. RNAcentral describes it as "partial 16S ribosomal RNA". It matches the Rfam family "Bacterial small subunit ribosomal RNA", at positions 509 to 807 of the family's 1533-position model. The record is from RNAcentral.
CAGCCGCCGCGGUAAUACGAAGGGGGCUAGCGUUGUUCGGAAUUACUGGGCGUAAAGCGCACGUAGGCGGACAUUUAAGUCAGGGGUAAAAUCCCGGGGCUCAACCCCGGAACUGCCUUUGAUACUGGGUGUCUAGAGUAUGGAAGAGGUGAGUGGAAUUCCGAGUGUAGAGGUGAAAUUCGUAGAUAUUCGGAGGAACACCAGUGGCGAAGGCGGCUCACUGGUCCAUUACUGACGCUGAGGUGCGAAAGCGUGGGGAGCAAACAGGAUUAGAUACCCCUGUAGUCCCUGUCUCUUAUAC